UAAGGCUGCAAUCCUGUACAUAGGCUGCUUAAAUCCCAUUCACUUUAAUGGUACUUAAGCUGCCUAAAUAUGUGUAGGUUUGUAGCCUA
Podarcis lilfordi (Lilford's wall lizard) is the source of this 89-nucleotide non-coding RNA. The record is from the annotation of a GenBank genome assembly. Lineage: Eukaryota; Metazoa; Chordata; Lepidosauria; Squamata; Lacertidae.